This is a non-coding RNA of Terrapene triunguis (Three-toed box turtle), 356 nucleotides long. NCBI's taxonomy places the organism in Eukaryota, Metazoa, Chordata, Testudines, Emydidae. The record is from the annotation of a RefSeq genome assembly.
AUGUUACUGGUGCAGGUUCUUAUUGUGGCUUCAAUUUGGUCAUAUGGAGCUGCACAAGUACAACUGACACAAGAUCAGUUAUCCAUCACAAGGAAUCUGAUGAAAACAGUAAGAAUUGACUGUAAAGUUUCUGGCAUCAAUUUUGGUGAUGCUUAUAUACACUGGUAUCGACAGAGACCUGGAGAAGCUCCGGAGUGGAUACUCUACUUUAAGACACAAACUGAAAAAUCAAAUUUUGACAAGGAGAAGUUUAGCAUUCACAAGACAACUGAAAAAUCCACCUGUACCCUAACAGUAGACAAACUAACCUACAAUGACACGGCUACCUAUUACUGUGCCUACUGGGAUCGCACAAU